Molecule: ribosomal RNA, 496 nt
Filed under: uncultured bacterium
Lineage: Bacteria
Description: partial 16S ribosomal RNA
Rfam family: Bacterial small subunit ribosomal RNA
Source: RNAcentral
GAUGAACGCUGGCGGCGUGCCUAAUACACGCAAGUCGAGCGAACGGACGAGAAGCUUGCUUCUCUGAUGUUAGCGGCGGACGGGUGAGUAACACGUGGAUAACCUACCUAUAAGACUGGGAUACUUCGGGAAACCGUAGCUAAUACCGGAUAAUAUUUUGAACCGCAUGGUUCAAAAGUGAAAGACGGUCUUGCUGUCACUUAUAGAUGGAUCCGCGCUGCAUUAGCUAGUUGGUAAGGUAACGGCUUACCAAGGCAACGAUGCAUAGCCGACCUGAGAGGGUGAUCGGCCACACUGGAACUGAGACACGGUCCAGACUCCUACGGGAGGCAGCAGUAGGGAAUCUUCCGCAAUGGGCGAAAGCCUGACGGAGCAACGCCGCGUGAGUGAUGAAGGUCUUCGGAUCGUAAAACUCUGUUAUUAGGGAAGAACAUAUGUGUAAGUAACUGUGCACAUCUUGACGGUACCUAAUCAGAAAGCCACGGCUAACUACGUG